This 86-nucleotide transfer RNA is filed under the name Acidobacteriota bacterium. RNAcentral's name for it is "Acidobacteria bacterium tRNA-Leu". It matches the Rfam family "tRNA". From Rfam's summary of the family: Transfer RNA (tRNA) molecules are approximately 80 nucleotides in length. Their secondary structure includes four short double-helical elements and three loops (D, anti-codon, and T loops). Lineage: Bacteria; Pseudomonadati; Acidobacteriota. The record is from RNAcentral. RNAcentral also lists the same sequence under 1 other name.
GCCGGAGUGGUGGAAUGGUAGACGCAGGGGACUCAAAAUCCCCCGGGGGCAACCCUGUGCCGGUUCGAGUCCGGCCUCCGGUACCA